CCUACGGGCGGCAGCAGUGGGGAAUAUUGCACAAUGGGGGGAACCCUGAUGCAGCGACGCCGCGUGGGUGAGGAAGUACUUCGGUAUGUAAAGCCCUAUCAGCAGGGAAGAAAAUGACGGUACCUGACUAAGAAGCCCCGGCUAACUACGUGCCAGCAGCCGCGGUAAUACGUAGGGGGCAAGCGUUAUCCGGAUUUACUGGGUGUAAAGGGAGCGUAGACGGCGUGCCAAGUCUGAUGUGAAAGGCCGGGGCUCAACCCCGGGACUGCAUUGGAAACUGGCGGGCUGGAGUUGGAGAGAAGUACGCGGAAUGCGCGGUGUAGCGGUGAAAUGCUUAGAUAUCGCGCAGAACCCCGAUUGCGAAGGCAGCGUACCGGCUCCACACUGACGCUGAGGCACGAAAGCGUGGGUAUCGAACAGGAUUAGAUACCCCUGUAGUC
Molecule: ribosomal RNA, 440 nt
Filed under: uncultured bacterium
Lineage: Bacteria
Description: partial 16S ribosomal RNA
Rfam family: Bacterial small subunit ribosomal RNA
Source: RNAcentral